RNAcentral lists this ribosomal RNA (434 nucleotides) under uncultured Clostridium sp. Its description in RNAcentral is "partial 16S ribosomal RNA". It matches the Rfam family "Bacterial small subunit ribosomal RNA", at positions 341 to 792 of the family's 1533-position model. Lineage: Bacteria; Bacillati; Bacillota; Clostridia; Eubacteriales; Clostridiaceae. The record is from RNAcentral.
ACGGGAGGCAGCAGUGGGGAAUAUUGGACAAUGGGGGAAACCCUGAUCCAGCGACGCCGCGUGAGUGAAGAAGUAUUUCGGUAUGUAAAGCUCUAUCAGCAAGAAAGAAAAUGACGGUACUUGACUAAGAAGCCCCGGCUAACUACGUGCCAGCAGCCGCGGUAAUACGUAGGGGGCAAGCGUUAUCCGGAUUUACUGGGUGUAAAGGGAGCGUAGACGGCGAUGCAAGUCUGAAGUGAAAGCCCGGGGCUCAACCCCGGAACUGCUUUGGAAACUGUAUAGCUAGAGUGCAGGAGAGGUAUGUGGAAUUCCUAGUGUAGCGGUGAAAUGCGUAGAUAUUAGGAGGAACACCAGUGGCGAAGGCGACAUACCGGACUGUAACUGACGUUGAGGCUCGAAGGCGUGGGGAGCAAACAGGAUUAGAUACCCUGGUA